RNAcentral lists this ribosomal RNA (454 nucleotides) under uncultured bacterium. RNAcentral describes it as "bacterial SSU rRNA". It matches the Rfam family "Bacterial small subunit ribosomal RNA", at positions 340 to 786 of the family's 1533-position model. The record is from RNAcentral.
UACGGGAGGCAGCAGUGGGGAAUAUUGCACAAUGGGCGAAAGCCUGAUGCAGCUAUGCCGCGUGUAUGAAGAAGGCCUUAGGGUUGUAAAGUACUUUCAUCGGGGAGGAAAAACAAAACUAAUAAUUUUAUUUCUUGACGUUACCCGAAAAAGAAGCACCGGCUAACUCCGUGCCAGCAGCCGCGGUAAUACGGAGGGUGCUAGCGUUAAUCAGAAUUACUGGGCGUAAAGAGCACGUAGGUGGUUUUUUAAAGUCAGAUGUGAAAUCCCUGGGCUUAACCUGGAACUGCAUUUUGAAACUGAAAUACUAGAGUAUCGUAGAGGGAGGUAGAAUUCUAGGUGUAGCGGUGAAAUGCGUAGAUAUCUGGAGGAAUACCUGUGGCGAAAGCGGCCUCCUAAACGAAUACUGACACUGAGGUGCGAAAGCGUGGGGAGCAAACAGGGAUUAGAUACC